Molecule: ribosomal RNA, 490 nt
Filed under: uncultured bacterium
Lineage: Bacteria
Description: partial 16S ribosomal RNA
Rfam family: Bacterial small subunit ribosomal RNA
Source: RNAcentral
AUUGAACGCUGGCGGCAGGCCUAACACAUGCAAGUCGAACGGUAACAGGAAACAGCUUGCUGUUUCGCUGACGAGUGGCGGACGGGUGAGUAAUGUCUGGGAAACUGCCUGAUGGAGGGGGAUAACUACUGGAAACGGUAGCUAAUACCGCAUAACGUCGCAAGACCAAAGAGGGGGACCUUCGGGCCUCUUGCCAUCGGAUGUGCCCAGAUGGGAUUAGCUAGUAGGUGGGGUAACGGCUCACCUAGGCGACGAUCCCUAGCUGGUCUGAGAGGAUGACCAUCCACACUGGAACUGAGACACGGUCCAGACUCCUACGGGAGGCAGCAGUGGGGAAUAUUGCACAAUGGGCGCAAGCCUGAUGCAGCCAUGCCGCGUGUAUGAAGAAGGCCUUCGGGUUGUAAAGUACUUUCAGCGGGGAUGAAGGGAGUAAAGUUAAUACCUUUGCUCAUUGACGUUACCCGCAGAAGAAGCACCGGCUAACUCCGUG